GACGAACGCUGGCGGCGUGCUUAACACAUGCAAGUCGAGCGGUAAGGCCUUUCGGGGUACACGAGCGGCGAACGGGUGAGUAACACGUGGGUGAUCUGCCCUGCACUUCGGGAUAAGCCUGGGAAACUGGGUCUAAUACCGGAUAUGACCUCCUAUCGCAUGGUGGGUGGUGGAAAGAUUUAUCGGUGCAGGAUGGGCCCGCGGCCUAUCAGCUUGUUGGUGGGGUAAUGGCCUACCAAGGCGACGACGGGUAGCCGACCUGAGAGGGUGACCGGCCACACUGGGACUGAGACACGGCCCAGACUCCUACGGGAGGCAGCAGUGGGGAAUAUUGCACAAUGGGCGAAAGCCUGAUGCAGCGACGCCGCGUGAGGGAUGACGGCCUUCGGGUCGUAAACCUCUUUCAGCAGGGACGAAGCGCAAGUGACGGUACCUGCAGAAGAAGCACCGGCUAACUACGUG
RNAcentral lists this ribosomal RNA (462 nucleotides) under uncultured bacterium. RNAcentral describes it as "partial 16S ribosomal RNA". It matches the Rfam family "Bacterial small subunit ribosomal RNA", at positions 28 to 507 of the family's 1533-position model. The record is from RNAcentral.